Molecule: long non-coding RNA, 5209 nt
Filed under: Sus scrofa (pig)
Lineage: Eukaryota; Metazoa; Chordata; Mammalia; Artiodactyla; Suidae
Description: lncRNA (ENSSSCG00005010921.1)
Source: RNAcentral
UUUUUUUUUUUUUUUGGAACGUUGUCUAGAGCCUAUUUUCAUCCUUUCUGCUCAUGUGAAAUAUCUUUUUAAUUAUCUCCUCAAAGGUAUGGUUCUGUAAGUGAGGUACAAGAGAAACUGCGCCUAUUUAAAGUAUGCCCAUGACGUGGUUUAGAUGCACGCCUGCAAAACCAUCACCACAAUCGAGAUUGCAAACUUUGCCGUCACCCCAAAAGUCUCUCCCUGCCCUGUACAAUCCCUCCCUUCUCUCAUCCCUAUCCCCAGGCAACACCCGCCGAUCUAGAGAAAGCCCUCUUGGAAAGAAGAAAGACUGUGGCUACUUUGCUAUGUUCUCAGGCCAGUCCGGUUAGGGCAGGGGUGAAGGAGGAUGGAGACAUCCCAGGAAAUGAGGGUAAGUGUGCAGAUAACAUAGGCCAAUGGGAUUAGGAGAAUCGCAGAGCAAAACGGCUGCAGCAACUACUGGAAUUAACCCUUGCAGCAAACUUAAGGGAAAGGUGUCAUCAUCCCCCUUUUAUGAAUGAAGGCACAAGCCCUGGUCGUGGUUGAGGAGCUGAUCCAAGGUCAUUCGGGCAGUAGGUGGCAAAGCUGGAGCUCAGGGGCCUGGAGGCAAAGCCUGCUCAAGCUCACUAAGUGCUUUCCCUCCAGGCCCUGUAGCCACUGCUGGGAUCAGCUGAACUUGCCGUCCCCACCUGGGCUCCAGGGGUGGCCUGUGCCCUGAAACCUGCUCUGUGUCCUACAGGUUUCUUUGCGUCCCUCCCGUUGUCAGGAAGGGAGACGGGAGCCAAGAACCCUGACUUCCCAACCCACCUGUGGCCCAGCCUGCUGUGAGGCUGCCGCCAGGGAGCCCCACCCUCUGCAGGGGUGCCUCCCAGAGGAACCCCCAAGCUUCAACACUCCAGAAGAGGGCCAUGUUAGGGACAUUUUAAAGCCACCUAAAACCAACGCAGCAACACGUAUACACACUUGAUUUUUUGCUUUUGAAAAACUGCAAAGUAAUGUGCAAAUGUUCUGUUCCCUCCCCAACUUCCACCUGCUCAUCGGGGAUCUGAGGGUCAAGCACGGGCUGAGGGAUGGGGUGGAAGUCAGGGCUGAGGGUGGGGAUCGAGGUGCAGGGAAAAAGAUGAGGUGGGGAAGGGGUGAUGGAGGGACACGUUACUUAGAAACUUAAAAAAUAACCAGUGACUUUGCCCUUGGACAGGGCCAUUUGGACACAUCCACACCAAAAGUGCUCUCAGUGGCCAAAGAAAGCUUCAAGCCCUCUCUGAGCUUCAGCUUCCACAGGAAGCAUGCGGUGGUGGAAGCUGCAGGAAGCAUCUGGGCACCUCACAUGUUUAAAGAUGGAAGGCUUCCUGGAGGAAGAGCCCACACUACUGUAGGUCACAGGCCUCACUUCCUCCCAGGAGGAGCUGGGGGACAGGGGCCUGGGUGGGCAUCCCACUUGAUGGGACAAACUGAAGAAAAGAGAUGGAUCCAAAAUACUGAGUGAUUGGCAUGAGAGCCACCAGAUUUCCAGAGGACAGACACUAGGGAGUGGGCAAAUCGAUACUUGACUCGGUUUCCACCUCUGCACCCAGAGCAGGAUCCCAGCUCCUAGAGUCUCCAAGAAGACAGCAUGGGACUAAGUGUGAAGGGUGCCCAGCCCAGUGCCUGGCACAUGGAAGAGCUGUCCCACUGCCACCCUGUCAGAACCCCGGAAACCCCAGGGAAGCUUCUGGGUGCUGUGGGAACUUUACAUCAGCUUCAAAAUGCCCUGCCUGACCCGUGACUCACAGUUUUGAUUUCAGAAUGAACACUUUGCAAAGAAGACAUUUCCUUUAUUGUGUAUAAAGACUCCCUGAUUAAAGUCAGGUGGGGGCAGGCUGGCCCCUCGUUCUGCAUUGAGAGUCCCCAUUACUUUGCCAUUUGAUAUGGGGAGAAGGCAGCCAGGGGGUGGCAGAUAGACAUCCUAACAAGACCCAUUGCUGGUCUGUCUCCUGCCCCCACCCUGCCCCCCUCCACUCUGCGCUCUACCCGGCUGGGGAUGAGCUGACCCAGGUCCACGAAGACACCCCCCCCCCCAAAGCAAAGAGAACCAGGGCUUCUCCCAAGUCUGCUAGCCACCUGUGGCUCCUCGGCCCAACCAAGAGCUGACCAGACACACCAGGGCCUUGGGUGAGGGAAAGGAGUGCCCCACGCAAAAGCAGAGAGAGAGAGUGAGUGAGGCUUCCUGGAAGAGGGGGGUCCCAGACAUGUUUUGAAAAUCGAGGGGGCAAACUUUGGUGACAACAAGAAGGCAUCUCAUCAAAAUCCCACAGGCGAUACUUCACGCAUGGAUUUCAUUUAACAAUAUGCGUUGGGCACCCAGCAAGUGCCCAGUGUAGUGGGCAACAGGGACAUGGACGUGAGCAGAACAUGGUCCUUGCUUCUGCAGAGGCUCAUGGGAAAGCAACGUGACCCACGCUGUGGCAAAGGAGCAGUAGUUGCCAAUCGGGCCAGGAGAGGCCCGGGACCUUCCAUGGAGGGCAGUGCCUUGAGAGUCUUGAAGGUGGUAUAGAGGUCAGGUUCUAGAGGCUGCAUGGGUUUGCACCCAGGUUCUCCCAGCUACUAGUUCUAGGAGCUCGGGCAACUUAUUAACCUCUCUGGGCCAGUUUUCUUGUUCUGGAAAGGGCACGUACUUCAGAAGGUUGUUGUAAACAUUAAAUAUAUGAAUACAUGUAAAGCAUAUUUAGAACAGUGUCUGCUCUUAGGUUCAGCAAACGUGUUUAUUAACGAUUGUCUUGAAGGCAAAGCAGGCAGCCUGCAGAUGGGAACAUCACAGGUAAGUGUUUCAGGAAGCAGGACCCACAGGGACAGAGGCAGGGAUGUGGCAGAGGCAGGGCUGGGGUGUGGCCCAGAGACUCCUGGGGAGCAUGUGCUGAGAUGAAGCCUGGAAGGUGGACAAUGGCCAGAUGUGCCAGGCUGUGCGCACCUUGGAGGGUGGACCUGGUCUAGGAGCUAAGAGAGGGACUGGGGGUUGCAAGAGGCCACUGGACUGGAAGAAGUGAGCCUGGAGGUGAGGGGCCCCGCUGGCAGCCUAGUGGGAGAGAAAAGAGAGACAUAAAGGAGUCCAAAACCAGCAGGAACAGAGAGGAGGUGAGUCACUGGGGCCUUGAGGGGAUGGAUGCAGGGGAAGAAGAGGCUGAGCUGGGGCUGCCUUGGCAAACACGGAGCCAUCCGGAUGAGGAAGACAGGAGCAGGGGUGGGCUUGUGGGUGGAGGCGGGGGAAUAACAGAAUAAGAGGUGCUGGGUGCCCAACUAUGACCUAUAGACGCAUUAUUUCAUUGAAACCUUACAUGGACCCUUUACGAAAGGUACUGUCACCAACUCUAUUUACAGCUGAGAAAACCGAGGCACAGAGUGACUGAAAACUUAUGUCGGAGACAUGGGGUGGUUUUCAGGGCCUGCAUUCCGUUUUGUUUGUUUGUUUGUUUGUUUCAGUUUUUAGGGCCACACACACAUAUGGAAGUUCCCAGGCUAAGGGUCAAGUUGGAGCUACAGUUGCCGGCCUACAGCACAGCCACAGCAACACCAGACCUGAGCCGCAUCUGUGACCUACACCACAGCUCAUGGCAACACCAGAUCCUUUAGCCCACUGAGUGAGGCCAGGGAUCGAACCCACAUCCUCAUGGAUACUAGUCGGGUUCGUUACCACUGAGCCACGAUGGCAACUCCAGGACCUGCAUCCUUAAGCCUUCUGCUCCAUAUUGACCUUGAGACACUAGCUAUGCGUCCACUGCUUAGCAGAGAGGCCCAGACCUUCGAGCCAUGCAGAAAUGAGGGUCCGGAGUGAAGGAGAAUGAGGGGCAAGAGCUGAAUGGGGAGAGAGGGGCUCUGCCAUGCUGGGGCCCUAAGGGAAGUGGGCCAGCCAGGAAGCUCCCCAAGAGGAGGCAGCAGGCGCCCUCCACUCCCUCCUCUCCUGCCCACAGGGAGGGAAUCCAGCCCUAGGAACUGGGCCUCUUGCCCUGCUGCCCUCCCCACAGCCCACAGAGAACACAGGUGGCCUGGCCCCCUCCCAGUGCCUAGAGGGGGUUGCAUAACUGCCCUGAGCCCCGUGAGGCCAGAGGGGCUCUACCUUCCUCCCCCUGAGGCACUGGGACAGGAGGGCUGACAGACUCUGGCUCAGCUUUUGCAGACAAAACUUAAGUCCUCUAAGUGGAAGUAUGCCAGCCCUCUCUGGGCCAGGGCAAGGCCCAAUCAUGUCCCCCAGUCCACAGACAGAGCUGAGGUUCUAUUGACAAAAACGUCUAAAGAUGUUUACCUCAGCCCCAACGGCUGCUGGCCCAGGUCCCGUUUGGGUGUGCCAUGGGCUCAGGUGAGGUCACACACACACACACUCCCUCCCCAGGAACCAGCUCCCUGAGUCGCCUCACCCCAGCCAAAUUCACCUGAAGCACCUGGCCUUUCUCUGAAUACCACAGGAGGUUAUCUCGCUACGAGCUGUCCAUCAAGAGAACCUCCCCCUGCUUCAAUCAUUCACAGAAUGAGCUUCUUAAAUUACUGCAGGGAGCUCCAAGUUCUGAGAUUUCUGCCGCACUUUCAUCUUGAGGGGGAAAGGAGAGGCCAAGAAGGGAGGGCGAACUACCUCACACCUGUCAGAAUGGCCGUCAUCAAAAAGGCAACAAAUAACAAAGUUUGGCAAGGGUGUGGGGAAGAGGGAGCCCUCGAACACAGACGGCAGGAAGGCAAAAUUGGUGCUCCCACUGCGGAAAAUAGUAAGAAGCUUCCUCAGAAAGUUAAAAAUAGAACUACCAUAUUAUCCAGCUACUUCACAUAUGCUGUGUAUUUACCUGAAGAAAACAAAAACACUAAUUCAAAAAGAUAUAUGCACCCUAAUGUUCACAGCAGCAUUAUUUACAAUGGCCAAGACAUGGAAGCAACCUAAGUGUCCAGUGACAUAUGAAUAAAUAAAAAAAGAUAUCAUACACACACACACAGAGUGAAGAAUUACUAAGCUAUAAAAAAUACAAUUUUUCAACAAUGCAGAUGGAUCAAGAGAGUAUUAUGUUAAGUGAAAUUAGUCAGACAAAGACAAAUACCAUACGAGCUCACCUAGACAGGGAAUCUAAAAAACAGGACAAAACAAAACCAGACUCAUAGGUACAGAGAACAUAUGGGUGGCGGCGGGAGUUACGGGGGAGGAUGCAAAAUAGGUAAAGUGAAUUAAGAGGCACAAACCUCCAGUUAUAAAAUA